This 2901-nucleotide ribosomal RNA is filed under the name Escherichia coli KO11FL. Its description in RNAcentral is "bacterial LSU rRNA". It matches the Rfam family "Bacterial large subunit ribosomal RNA". The record is from RNAcentral. Lineage: Bacteria; Pseudomonadati; Pseudomonadota; Gammaproteobacteria; Enterobacterales; Enterobacteriaceae.
UUAAGCGACUAAGCGUACACGGUGGAUGCCCUGGCAGUCAGAGGCGAUGAAGGACGUGCUAAUCUGCGAUAAGCGUCGGUAAGGUGAUAUGAACCGUUAUAACCGGCGAUUUCCGAAUGGGGAAACCCAGUGUGAUUCGUCACACUAUCAUUAACUGAAUCCAUAGGUUAAUGAGGCGAACCGGGGGAACUGAAACAUCUAAGUACCCCGAGGAAAAGAAAUCAACCGAGAUUCCCCCAGUAGCGGCGAGCGAACGGGGAGCAGCCCAGAGCCUGAAUCAGUGUGUGUGUUAGUGGAAGCGUCUGGAAAGGCGCGCGAUACAGGGUGACAGCCCCGUACACAAAAAUGCACAUGCUGUGAGCUCGAUGAGUAGGGCGGGACACGUGGUAUCCUGUCUGAAUAUGGGGGGACCAUCCUCCAAGGCUAAAUACUCCUGACUGACCGAUAGUGAACCAGUACCGUGAGGGAAAGGCGAAAAGAACCCCGGCGAGGGGAGUGAAAAAGAACCUGAAACCGUGUACGUACAAGCAGUGGGAGCACGCUUAGGCGUGUGACUGCGUACCUUUUGUAUAAUGGGUCAGCGACUUAUAUUCUGUAGCAAGGUUAACCGAAUAGGGGAGCCGAAGGGAAACCGAGUCUUAACUGGGCGUUAAGUUGCAGGGUAUAGACCCGAAACCCGGUGAUCUAGCCAUGGGCAGGUUGAAGGUUGGGUAACACUAACUGGAGGACCGAACCGACUAAUGUUGAAAAUUAGCGGAUGACUUGUGGCUGGGGGUGAAAGGCCAAUCAAACCGGGAGAUAGCUGGUUCUCCCCGAAAGCUAUUUAGGUAGCGCCUCGUGAAUUCAUCUCCGGGGGUAGAGCACUGUUUCGGCAAGGGGGUCAUCCCGACUUACCAACCCGAUGCAAACUGCGAAUACCGGAGAAUGUUAUCACGGGAGACACACGGCGGGUGCUAACGUCCGUCGUGAAGAGGGAAACAACCCAGACCGCCAGCUAAGGUCCCAAAGUCAUGGUUAAGUGGGAAACGAUGUGGGAAGGCCCAGACAGCCAGGAUGUUGGCUUAGAAGCAGCCAUCAUUUAAAGAAAGCGUAAUAGCUCACUGGUCGAGUCGGCCUGCGCGGAAGAUGUAACGGGGCUAAACCAUGCACCGAAGCUGCGGCAGCGACGCUGAUGCGUUGUUGGGUAGGGGAGCGUUCUGUAAGCCUGCGAAGGUGUGCUGUGAGGCAUGCUGGAGGUAUCAGAAGUGCGAAUGCUGACAUAAGUAACGAUAAAGCGGGUGAAAAGCCCGCUCGCCGGAAGACCAAGGGUUCCUGUCCAACGUUAAUCGGGGCAGGGUGAGUCGACCCCUAAGGCGAGGCCGAAAGGCGUAGUCGAUGGGAAACAGGUUAAUAUUCCUGUACUUGGUGUUACUGCGAAGGGGGGACGGAGAAGGCUAUGUUGGCCGGGCGACGGUUGUCCCGGUUUAAGCGUGUAGGCUGGUUUUCCAGGCAAAUCCGGAAAAUCAAGGCUGAGGCGUGAUGACGAGGCACUACGGUGCUGAAGCAACAAAUGCCCUGCUUCCAGGAAAAGCCUCUAAGCAUCAGGUAACAUCAAAUCGUACCCCAAACCGACACAGGUGGUCAGGUAGAGAAUACCAAGGCGCUUGAGAGAACUCGGGUGAAGGAACUAGGCAAAAUGGUGCCGUAACUUCGGGAGAAGGCACGCUGAUAUGUAGGUGAAGUCCCUCGCGGAUGGAGCUGAAAUCAGUCGAAGAUACCAGCUGGCUGCAACUGUUUAUUAAAAACACAGCACUGUGCAAACACGAAAGUGGACGUAUACGGUGUGACGCCUGCCCGGUGCCGGAAGGUUAAUUGAUGGGGUCAGCGCAAGCGAAGCUCUUGAUCGAAGCCCCGGUAAACGGCGGCCGUAACUAUAACGGUCCUAAGGUAGCGAAAUUCCUUGUCGGGUAAGUUCCGACCUGCACGAAUGGCGUAAUGAUGGCCAGGCUGUCUCCACCCGAGACUCAGUGAAAUUGAACUCGCUGUGAAGAUGCAGUGUACCCGCGGCAAGACGGAAAGACCCCGUGAACCUUUACUAUAGCUUGACACUGAACAUUGAGCCUUGAUGUGUAGGAUAGGUGGGAGGCUUUGAAGUGUGGACGCCAGUCUGCAUGGAGCCGACCUUGAAAUACCACCCUUUAAUGUUUGAUGUUCUAACGUUGACCCGUAAUCCGGGUUGCGGACAGUGUCUGGUGGGUAGUUUGACUGGGGCGGUCUCCUCCUAAAGAGUAACGGAGGAGCACGAAGGUUGGCUAAUCCUGGUCGGACAUCAGGAGGUUAGUGCAAUGGCAUAAGCCAGCUUGACUGCGAGCGUGACGGCGCGAGCAGGUGCGAAAGCAGGUCAUAGUGAUCCGGUGGUUCUGAAUGGAAGGGCCAUCGCUCAACGGAUAAAAGGUACUCCGGGGAUAACAGGCUGAUACCGCCCAAGAGUUCAUAUCGACGGCGGUGUUUGGCACCUCGAUGUCGGCUCAUCACAUCCUGGGGCUGAAGUAGGUCCCAAGGGUAUGGCUGUUCGCCAUUUAAAGUGGUACGCGAGCUGGGUUUAGAACGUCGUGAGACAGUUCGGUCCCUAUCUGCCGUGGGCGCUGGAGAACUGAGGGGGGCUGCUCCUAGUACGAGAGGACCGGAGUGGACGCAUCACUGGUGUUCGGGUUGUCAUGCCAAUGGCACUGCCCGGUAGCUAAAUGCGGAAGAGAUAAGUGCUGAAAGCAUCUAAGCACGAAACUUGCCCCGAGAUGAGUUCUCCCUGACUCCUUGAGAGUCCUGAAGGAACGUUGAAGACGACGACGUUGAUAGGCCGGGUGUGUAAGCGCAGCGAUGCGUUGAGCUAACCGGUACUAAUGAACCGUGAGGCUUAACCUU